This 480-nucleotide ribosomal RNA is filed under the name uncultured bacterium. RNAcentral describes it as "bacterial SSU rRNA". It matches the Rfam family "Bacterial small subunit ribosomal RNA", at positions 28 to 524 of the family's 1533-position model. The record is from RNAcentral.
GACGAACGCUGGCGGCGUGCCUAACACAUGCAAGUCGAACGAGGUCCAUCCUUCGGGAGAAGACCUAGUGGCGAACGGGUGAGUAACACGUGAAGAACCUGCCCCGAAGACCGGGAUAACCCUCCGAAAGGAGAGCUAAUACCGGAUACCCCCACCGAACCGCAUGGUUUGGUGAGGAAAUGGAUUCCGCUUCGGGAGGGCUUCGCGGCCUAUCAGCUAGUUGGUGGGGUAACGGCCCACCAAGGCAUCGACGGGUAGCUGGUCUGAGGGGACGGAUCAGCCACACUGGGACUGAGACACGGCCCAGACUCCUACGGGAGGCAGCAGUGGGGAAUCUUGCGCAAUGGGCGAAAGCCUGACGCAGCAACGCCGCGUGGGGGAUGAAGGCUCUCGGGUUGUAAACCCCUUUCAGCAGGGACGAAUCAAGACGGUACCUGCAGAAGAAGCCCCGGCUAACUACGUGCCAGCAGCCGCGGUAAU